UACGUAGGGUGCAAGCGUUAAUCGGAAUUACUGGGCGUAAAGCGCACGUAGGCGGCGACUCAAGUCAGAGGUGAAAGCCCGGGGCUCAACCCCGGAACUGCCUUUGAUACUGGGUAUCUUGAGUAUGGAAGAGGUAAGUGGAAUUGCGAGUGUAGAGGUGAAAUUCGUAGAUAUUCGCAGGAACACCAGUGGCGAAGGCGGCUUACUGGUCCAUAACUGACGCUGAGGUGCGAAAGCGUGGGGAGCAAACAGG
This 253-nucleotide ribosomal RNA is filed under the name uncultured bacterium. RNAcentral's name for it is "partial 16S ribosomal RNA". It matches the Rfam family "Bacterial small subunit ribosomal RNA", at positions 524 to 776 of the family's 1533-position model. The record is from RNAcentral.